ACAGAGUUACUGGGACUAUGUGGUGACAGGUUUACUCGUGAUGUGGCUUGUCUGUGAUAUGAUGCAUUUCAUGAGAUCAUAGUUUACUGAGAUGUUUUACUGUUCUACUCACUGGGCUAUAGAGCUCAUCCCACUCCCUUAACCCCAGUUUUGCAGGUUCAGUGUACAGUGUACAGGGACAGUCCAGCAGAGUACAGGAAAAGUAAAGAGAUCUGUAAGAGCUUAGAGUGGACAUGUAAUUAAUAGUUGUUGCUUGACCUAGUGACCUAGUGAUGUAUGUUUUGUACAUGAUCUGUAUAUGUAUAUAUGUUUUCCUGUAUGUGAAAACCAGGCUUAACAGGUAUGAGAUAGCCCAUCUAGAGCAAGCUCUAGUCAGG
This 377-nucleotide long non-coding RNA is filed under the name Manihot esculenta (cassava). RNAcentral's name for it is "long non-coding RNA (MESC_LNC007967)". The record is from RNAcentral. Lineage: Eukaryota; Viridiplantae; Streptophyta; Magnoliopsida; Malpighiales; Euphorbiaceae.